UCCUACGGGAGGCAGCAGUGGGGAAUAUUGCGCAAUGAGCGAAAGCUUGACGCAGCGACACCGCGUGCGGGAUGAAGGCCUUAGGGUUGUAAACCGCUUUCGGCAGGGACGAAGCGAAAGUGACGGUACCUGCAGAAGAAGGUCCGGCUAACUACGUGCCAGCAGCCGCGGUA
This 173-nucleotide ribosomal RNA is filed under the name uncultured Fodinicola sp. RNAcentral's name for it is "partial 16S ribosomal RNA". It matches the Rfam family "Bacterial small subunit ribosomal RNA", at positions 337 to 522 of the family's 1533-position model. The record is from RNAcentral. Lineage: Bacteria; Bacillati; Actinomycetota; Actinomycetes; Mycobacteriales.